AAAGGAUUAUUUUAAUUUUAGAAUUUUUGAUUCUUAAUCAAAAGGUUUUAUUCUUUAG
Molecule: transfer RNA, 58 nt
Filed under: Dirofilaria repens
Lineage: Eukaryota; Metazoa; Nematoda; Chromadorea; Rhabditida; Onchocercidae
Description: tRNA-Lys
Source: RNAcentral